Molecule: long non-coding RNA, 389 nt
Filed under: Vigna radiata
Lineage: Eukaryota; Viridiplantae; Streptophyta; Magnoliopsida; Fabales; Fabaceae
Description: long non-coding RNA (VRAD_LNC001778)
Source: RNAcentral
CUGCUCAAAAACAAUAUGGAAGUUGAGCAGUUUCUGGUGUGAAAAUGGUUGCUGUAAUGGAGUCUGCAGUUGCUGGACAGCAGAGUUAUAGCUGCUCAAAAGCUCCCUUUAUGUUUCCACUUCAGCCCCCUUUCCACUCCCUAAGAUGCUACCUCCAUAGGUAUAGGUUUCUACUACUGGAUGCUUCACAACAGUUACCAUAGCACCUCAAGAAUUCACUUAAACACACCAAACAGAAUUAGUAAACUGCACCAGAUUUUUAUGCUAAAUUCAAGAGUGUUUGACAAGUUGGAGGCCAAAAAUAAAGAACUCAAAGGAAAACAGGGAUGGAAUAACAGAAAGCACUCAAAAGGAACCUAUCAAAGGCACUAGAAUAGAUUAAAAAAACA